ACUUAGACAUAAAAGGGAGCCCGAUUGCUUCGGGAUGGACACCACCCACCUUUUAUAGCGUUCCGAUUGCUCGUUGUCACUCGGAAUCGGCCUCCUGCGGCGCAUGCCGCACGGCUCGACCCAACUCACGCGCGACUGCCAAAUGUCCUCCUAUCCGCGAUCCGUCUGUUCUGGAGUUUAUUCCCCGACACCAUGAUGCUACGAUUCCAUUUCCAUGAUUUUUGGAAGCUUCCGCCGCGAGCUGCGGUAAUCUGUACCAAAAUCGGCUUCUUCUUCGAUAUCUUUGUAACGGCUCGACGGAUUGCCAAACCGUCGCUUCCAACACGUUCAGCGACCUAUCAAUUAGGUUUACAUACAACCAAUUUAGAUCAA
This 372-nucleotide long non-coding RNA is filed under the name Ananas comosus (pineapple). RNAcentral's name for it is "long non-coding RNA (ACOM_LNC015084)". The record is from RNAcentral. Lineage: Eukaryota; Viridiplantae; Streptophyta; Magnoliopsida; Poales; Bromeliaceae.